GUCUACAGCUAUACCGCUCUGAAUGUGCCUGAUCUUGUCUAUCUCGGAAGCUAAGCACGGUCGGGCCUGGUUAGUACUUUGAAGGAAGCUAUCCUUGACUCUUUGCAUGUCAACA
Ribosomal RNA from Cavia aperea (Brazilian guinea pig), 115 nucleotides. The record is from Ensembl. NCBI's taxonomy places the organism in Eukaryota, Metazoa, Chordata, Mammalia, Rodentia, Caviidae.